AGCUCCAGUAGCGUAUAUUAAAGUUGUUGCAGUUAAAAAGCUCGUAGUUGGAUUUCUGACUAACCGCGCACGGUCCGGCUCCCACAGGGUGCUGUGUACUGUCGUGUGUUUGUCAUCCUUCCGAAGAGCUAACAGCCUACCGCCUUCGCGCGGACAGGGCUUAGCGAUUCGGUUCGUUUACUUUGAAAAAAUUAGAGUGUUCCAAGCAGGCUUAUGCUUUGAAUACAUUAGCAUGGAAUAAUAAGAUAGGACUUCUGUUCUAUUUUGUUGGUCUCCAGAACUGAAGUAAUGAUUGAUAGGGAUAGUUGGGGGUGCUAGUAUUCAGCGGCCAGAGGUGAAAUUCUUGGAUUCGCUGAAGACUAACUACUGCGAAAGCAUUCACCAAGGAUGUCUUCUUUAA
RNAcentral lists this ribosomal RNA (400 nucleotides) under phytoplankton environmental sample. RNAcentral describes it as "partial small subunit ribosomal RNA". It matches the Rfam family "Eukaryotic small subunit ribosomal RNA", at positions 587 to 976 of the family's 1831-position model. The record is from RNAcentral.